AGAGCGAACGCUGGCGGCAGGCCUAAUACAUGCAAGUCGAACGAACCCUUCGGGUGAGUGGCGGACGGGUGAGUAACACGUGGGAACGUACCCUUUGGUUCGGAACAACUCAGGGAAACUUGAGCUAAUACCGAAUGUGCCCUUCGGGGGAAAGAUUUAUCGCCAUUGGAGCGGCCCGCGUCUGAUUAGCUUGUUGGUGGGGUAAAGGCCCACCAAGGCAACGAUCAGCAGCUGGUCUGAGAGGAUGAUCAGCCACACUGGGACUGAGACACGGCCCAGACUCCUACGGGAGGCAGCAGUAGGGAAUCUUGCGCAAUGGGCGAAAGCCUGACGCAGCCAUGCCGCGUGAAUGAUGAAGGUCUUAGGAUUGUAAAAUUCUUUCAGCGGGGACGAUAAUGACGGUACCCGCAGAAGAAGCCCGGCUAACUUCGCGCCAGCAGCCGC
This 444-nucleotide ribosomal RNA is filed under the name uncultured bacterium. Its description in RNAcentral is "SSU rRNA". It matches the Rfam family "Bacterial small subunit ribosomal RNA", at positions 26 to 518 of the family's 1533-position model. The record is from RNAcentral.